This 465-nucleotide ribosomal RNA is filed under the name Vreelandella stevensii. RNAcentral's name for it is "partial 16S ribosomal RNA". It matches the Rfam family "Bacterial small subunit ribosomal RNA", at positions 338 to 795 of the family's 1533-position model. The record is from RNAcentral. Lineage: Bacteria; Pseudomonadati; Pseudomonadota; Gammaproteobacteria; Oceanospirillales; Halomonadaceae.
CCUACGGGGCGCUGCAGUGGGGAAUAUUGGACAAUGGGCGAAAGCCUGAUCCAGCCAUGCCGCGUGUGUGAAGAAGGCCUUCGGGUUGUAAAGCACUUUCAGUGGGGAAGAAAGCCUUGGGGCUAAUACCCUCGAGGAAGGACAUCACCCACAGAAGAAGCACCGGCUAACUCCGUGCCAGCAGCCGCGGUAAUACGGAGGGUGCGAGCGUUAAUCGGAAUUACUGGGCGUAAAGCGCGCGUAGGCGGUCUGAUAAGCCGGUUGUGAAAGCCCCGGGCUCAACCUGGGAACGGCAUCCGGAACUGUCAGGCUAGAGUGCAGGAGAGGAAGAUAGAAUUCCCGGUGUAGCGGUGAAAUGCGUAGAGAUCGGGAGGAAUACCAGUGGCGAAGGCGGCCUUCUGGACUGACACUGACGCUGAGGUGCGAAAGCGUGGGUAGCAAACAGGAUUAGAUACCCUUGUAGUC